Molecule: microRNA, 24 nt
Filed under: Ananas comosus (pineapple)
Lineage: Eukaryota; Viridiplantae; Streptophyta; Magnoliopsida; Poales; Bromeliaceae
Description: microRNA s1350_c045b
Source: RNAcentral
AAUGUGACAUGCGACUAAAUAUCC